UGGGGAAUAUUGGACAAUGGGCGCAAGCCUGAUCCAGCAAUGCCGCGUGAGUGAAGAAGGCCUUAGGGUUGUAAAGCUCUUUCACCCGUGAAGAUGAUGACGGUAACGGGAGAAGAAGCCCCGGCUAACUCCGUGCCAGCAGCCGCGGUAAUACGGAGGGGGCUAGCGUUGUUCGGAAUUACUGGGCGUAAAGCGCGCGUAGGCGGCGUGUCUAGUCAGGGGUGAAAGGCCUGGGCUUAACCUGGGAACGGCCUUUGAUACUGGCAUGCUUGAGUUCGGGAGAGGGCAGUGGAAUUCCCAGUGUAGAGGUGAAAUUCGUAGAUAUUGGGAAGAACACCGGUGGCGAAGGCGGCUGCCUGGCCCGCAACUGACGCUGAGGUGCGAAAGCGUGGGGAGCAAACAGGAUUAGAUACCCCUGUAGUCC
This 424-nucleotide ribosomal RNA is filed under the name uncultured prokaryote. RNAcentral describes it as "bacterial SSU rRNA". It matches the Rfam family "Bacterial small subunit ribosomal RNA", at positions 355 to 796 of the family's 1533-position model. The record is from RNAcentral.